This 501-nucleotide ribosomal RNA is filed under the name uncultured bacterium. RNAcentral describes it as "partial 16S ribosomal RNA". It matches the Rfam family "Bacterial small subunit ribosomal RNA", at positions 30 to 523 of the family's 1533-position model. The record is from RNAcentral.
AUUGAACGCUGGCGGCAGGCUUAACACAUGCAAGUCGAGCGGAGAUGAGGUGCUUGCACCUUAUCUUAGCGGCGGACGGGUGAGUAAUGCUUAGGAAUCUGCCUAUUAGUGGGGGACAACAUUCCGAAAGGAAUGCUAAUACCGCAUAAGGUCUAAGGGAGAAAGCAGGGGAUCUUCGGACCUUGCGCUAAUAGAUGAGCCUACGUCUGAUUAGCUAGUUGGUGGGGUAAAGGCUCACCAAGGCGACGAGCUGUAGCCGGUCUGAGAGGAUGAUCCGCCCCACUGGGACUGAGACACGGCCCAGACUCCUACGGGAGGCAGCAGUGGGGAAUAUUGGACAAUGGGGGAAACCCUGAUCCAGCCAUGCCGCGUGUGUGAAGAAGGCCUUAUGGUUGUAAAGCACUUUAAGCGAGGAGGAGGCUACUGAGACUAAUACUCUUGGAUAGUGGACGUUACUCGCAGAAUAAGCACCGGCUAACUCUGUGCCAGCAGCCGCAGUAA